Long non-coding RNA from Passer domesticus (house sparrow), 899 nucleotides. RefSeq lists it as uncharacterized. The transcript has 2 exons. The record is from RefSeq and is a predicted model, not a curated record. NCBI's taxonomy places the organism in Eukaryota, Metazoa, Chordata, Aves, Passeriformes, Passeridae.
GGGAAUUUUACCCGCCAACAAAGACGCCGGAGCUCGCGCGGAAUACGUCACGCAGCUCACCACGUGGGAAGGGCGGCGCUCAUUGGCUACGGGAGAGUCGCUGUCGUGCUCCCUGAGGAAUAAAAAUGUCGUCUCCUGCCGUGCAGUUUCAUGCUGAUGCUUCCCUGUUCUCUGCGCAGACAUCUCUCGACUGGUGUGAGCAUUAAUUGAUCACCUAUAGAGCCUCGCGGCUACAAGGGCAGUGCCACCUUGGUAGCUUUCAAAGUGCGGUUUUGCAUUUUAUCCGAUCCAAAUCAACUUUCUUCUAGGAAAGAAGUCAGACCUCUUCCCCCACCUAAACAGUUCCACCAGCUCGCCUGGACCCCACUGAGACAGCUCACAGCAAGAAACUCACAGGGGUCAAGUUUCCCCCUGGCUUCAGUUCCUUCAUCAUCCUUUCAUGGGGUCACACAAGCACUGGGCAGCUCCGGUGAGCUGCGAGUUCCAAUACCUGUGUCAUUCCUUACUGUGUCAGAGUUACCCAGCUUCAAAAGGCUGAUUUUCCACUUUGCCAGCCUCCCAGCACCAUCUGCUCUGAGAGCUGCGGUGGGACCGUGAUUGAUCAAACAUCAGCAUCCUGCAGCUCAGCUUGCUCUCAGCUACUUCUGCAAAAGGCUUCACUAUUUUCCAGUUAAAGCCUCAGUACUAUUUGGGUAAAGCCAUAGGCUUCACCUUGUUUGCUCAAGUCUAACUGCCUGGAAUGUCUUUAAAAACUGGUUGAUGAUUUUCAAGGACAGAGUGUGACCCAAUUUUUACUUUUAGCAGUCUGGUCUUGGCGCCAUCACUACAAAGCAGAGUAUGUCACUGUAUGACAUCUGUAAUGUGAACACUGGCUGCUGAAUUAAAAAGGAUUUUUGCUA